GAGUUUGAUCAUGGCUCAGAUUGAACGCUGGCGGCAUGCCUUACACAUGCAAGUCGAACGGCAGCACGGGAGCUUGCUCCUGGUGGCGAGUGGCGAACGGGUGAGUAAUGCAUCGGAACGUAUCCUGGAGUGGGGGAUAACGUAGCGAAAGUUACGCUAAUACCGCAUAUUCUGUGAGCAGGAAAGUCGGGGGACCUUCGGGGCCUCGCGCUCUUGGAGCGGCCGAUGUCGGAUUAGCUAGUUGGUGAGGUAAAGGCGUCACCAAGGCGACGAUCCGUAGCAGGUCUGAGAGGAUGAUCUGCCACACUGGAACUGAGACACGGUCCAGACUCCUACGGGAGGCGAGCAGUGGGGAAUUUUGGACAAUGGGGGCAACCCUGAGUCCAGCCAUGCCGCGUGAGUGAAGAAGGCCU
Molecule: ribosomal RNA, 413 nt
Filed under: bacterium enrichment culture clone ALO1_GLFRUDD03GLJD2
Lineage: Bacteria
Description: bacterial SSU rRNA
Rfam family: Bacterial small subunit ribosomal RNA
Source: RNAcentral